AAGACUAUACUUUCAGGGAUCAUUUCUAUAGUUCGUUACUAGAGAAGUUUCUCUGAUCGUGUAGAGCACCCGAAACCACGAGGAGGAGGCGUGGCGUUCUCUCCUGAGCGUGAAGCCGGCGCUUGGUGUUGCCUUUGCAACUGCCACUUGCCAUUGAUGAUCGUUCUUCUCUCCUUGAUGGAGAGCAAGAGGGAGAGGACGCAGUCUGAGUGGC
This is a small nucleolar RNA of Myotis myotis, 214 nucleotides long. RefSeq annotates it as small nucleolar RNA U3. The record is from RefSeq and is a predicted model, not a curated record. The transcript has a single exon. Lineage: Eukaryota; Metazoa; Chordata; Mammalia; Chiroptera; Vespertilionidae.